RNAcentral lists this unclassified non-coding RNA (345 nucleotides) under soil metagenome. RNAcentral describes it as "partial contains 5.8S ribosomal RNA, internal transcribed spacer 2, and large subunit ribosomal RNA". The stretch from base 1 to 119 matches the Rfam family "5.8S ribosomal RNA", at positions 35 to 154 of the family's 154-position model. The record is from RNAcentral.
GAUGAAGAACGCAGCGAAAUGCGAUACGUAAUGUGAAUUGCAAAUUCAGUGAAUCAUCGAGUCUUUGAACGCACAUUGCGCCCCCUGGUAUUCCGGGGGGCAUGCCUGUCCGAGCGUCAUUGCUGCCCUCAAGCACGGCUUGUGUGUUGGGCCCCGUCCUCCGAUCCCGGGGGACGGGCCCGAAAGGCAGCGGCGGCACCGCGUCCGGUCCUCGAGCGUAUGGGGCUUUGUCACCCGCUCUGUAGGCCCGGCCGGCGCUUGCCGAUCAACCCAAAUUUUUUAUCCAGGUUGACCUCGGAUCAGGUAGGGAUACCCGCUGAACUUAAGCAUAUCAAUAACGGAGGA